GUGAACGCUGGCGGUAGGCCUAACACAUGCAAGUCGAACGGCAGCACCGUAAGAGCUUGCUCUUACGGGUGGCGAGUGGCGGACGGGUGAGGAAUACAUCGGAAUCUACUUUUUCGUGGGGGAUAACGUAGGGAAACUUACGCUAAUACCGCAUACGACCUACGGGUGAAAGCAGGGGAUCUUCGGACCUUGCGCGAUUGAAUGAGCCGAUGUCGGAUUAGCUAGUUGGCGGGGUAAAGGCCCACCAAGGCGACGAUCCGUAGCUGGUCUGAGAGGAUGAUCAGCCACACUGGAACUGAGACACGGUCCAGACUCCUACGGGAGGCAGCAGUGGGGAAUAUUGGACAAUGGGCGCAAGCCUGAUCCAGCCAUACCGCGUGGGUGAAGAAGGCCUUCGGGUUGUAAAGCCCUUUUGUUGGGAAAAAAAAGCAGCAGGUUAAUACCCCGCUGUCCUGACGGUACCCAAAGAAUAAGCACCGGCUAACUUCGUG
This 491-nucleotide ribosomal RNA is filed under the name uncultured bacterium. RNAcentral's name for it is "partial 16S ribosomal RNA". It matches the Rfam family "Bacterial small subunit ribosomal RNA", at positions 29 to 507 of the family's 1533-position model. The record is from RNAcentral.